GCUAAGUCCGGAUCAGCAUCGGCGGUAAUACGGGGGGGGUAGGUGUUAUUGUGAAGUAGUGGGGGUGAAUGACGGUGAGGCGGCGUGUAAAGGCAAAUGUGAAAUCCCGCGGCUCAACUGAGGAAUUGCCUUUGAAACGUUCAGGCUUUAUGGCUGGAGGUGGGGGCGGAAUUCCCAGUGUAGCGGUGAAAUGCGUAGCUAGUGGGAGGAACACCAGUGGCGAAGGCGGCCACCUGGACCGGUUCUGACGCUUAUGCGCGAAAGCGUGGGGAGCAAACAGGAUUAGAUACCCGUGUAGUC
Molecule: ribosomal RNA, 300 nt
Filed under: uncultured Desulfomicrobium sp.
Lineage: Bacteria; Pseudomonadati; Thermodesulfobacteriota; Desulfovibrionia; Desulfovibrionales; Desulfomicrobiaceae
Description: bacterial SSU rRNA
Rfam family: Bacterial small subunit ribosomal RNA
Source: RNAcentral